GAAAAGAAAACUCCUCAAAUGAUGUACAGAAAUUGAAAACUAAAACAAUAAACAAUAAUAAGCGACACACCACUUACCAAACCGAACGUGAACAUAAAAAAUCGAAGCACAACGAUUUGAGAGAAAGGUUUGUGAUAGAAUUAGAAAGAAGAAAGAAGAAAAAAUAUUUUGACAGUGAACAGGAAAGAGAGAAAAAAACAUCAGAUGGGGAAAUUUUAGGAAAUUGAAUUAAAAUAAAAAUAAAAAUUAAAAAAACUAAAAUCCCAACUCCCCACUAAAACCGACAGCCGAUUCUCAUCCAACAACCUCAGACUU
RNAcentral lists this long non-coding RNA (315 nucleotides) under Gossypium raimondii (Peruvian cotton). Its description in RNAcentral is "long non-coding RNA (GRAI_LNC008377)". Lineage: Eukaryota; Viridiplantae; Streptophyta; Magnoliopsida; Malvales; Malvaceae. The record is from RNAcentral.